GGCAUAUUGAUACAAAGAAGGGGAAGAAAAGUUCGUUGCCAAAUUACACUGUGAGAGCAGUGGUAGGACACUGGAUUUGAGGGCUGGAGUCCUCGGUUCUAAACUCUAAUUACCUGUGUGACCUUGGGCAAGUCCCUCCUUAUCUUUGAGCCUCCAUUUUCUGUUCGGUAAAAUGAAUGGGUUGUAUUAUUUUACACGACCUCUAAGUUUCUUUCGAUGAUAAAACCUAGGACGCCAGGGAUGAAGAGAGAGGAGAUCGGGAGGGGGAGGGGAGAAGGCUGAGUUCCACUCCAUGAUCCCACCCUCCUUUCCCUGACAGGUAGAGUCUCUGGCUUCUCCAUCUCCAUGGCAACGAAGUGGCGACCAAGGAACUCCUACUACCUGGAGAGGCUCACGUUCUGACUCUGCGGCCCUCUGCUCCUCCUUCGCGCUCCCUAGUCCUGGGAAGACUCAAGGUUUCCUGGGACUUAAGGAGAUUCUAGCAAUGUCACCUGCAAAUAAUGACACUUGGGGGACCUCAGACUCUAUACCCCGUUUCUGCUCUUUGCUAUACAUCCUCCAUGACCCAAGCAAACAACUUCAACAGAGUGAAGUGCAGAGCUUUGCCCUAUUGUGCCCCACAAAAGAAGAGCUCCCAGGAAGAAACUGCCACAUGAAAGCAAGAUAGAGUCUAAGGAGAUCCCAGGACACUAGAUCACUGCUGGGGAGGUUGCUGUAAUGAAUAAAAUUCUCUGGAG
This 737-nucleotide long non-coding RNA is filed under the name Monodelphis domestica (gray short-tailed opossum). RNAcentral's name for it is "lncRNA (ENSMODG00000033691.2)". Lineage: Eukaryota; Metazoa; Chordata; Mammalia; Didelphimorphia; Didelphidae. The record is from RNAcentral.